CUCCCUGCAUGGAGCCUGCUUUUCCCUCUGUCUGUGUCUCCGCCCCUCUCUCUCUGUGCCUAUGAAUAAAUAAAUAAAAUCUUUAAAAAAAAUUAUAAUACAGGGAGAUAAGGGCUAUGGCAGUGGGUAGGACAAGAUGCUAGGGGAAUAAAAAAGAGAGAGAAAGAGAGAGAGAGAUUCAAGGAAGGCUGCCAGGAAGAGAGGACAUCUGAGGUAGGCUUUGAAGGAUGAGUAGAAGCUUGCCUUGGGGCAAAUGGGUUGAAUGGCCCAGAAUAUGGUUUCAAAUUAGGAGCCUACACCCUUGUCUUGACUCUGCUUCUGACUUUGGGUAACUCUGUCCCUCUGUGGACCUCUGUUUGUACAGUGAGGGUAUUAAUGGGGAAUUCCUUUGCCUGCUCACCUGUUUUCUGCCCAUGGCUUUUUAAGGAGAGUUUUAUCUUGUCUGACUGCUCUCUUUUGAGAUACAAAACUGGGAUAACAAGGAUGACAGAGACUGGAUGGAAAGGCAGGAAGGAAAAAAGAAAAGCAAGGGUGUGGGUAAGGGCCUAUGGGGGACAGUUUUGGAUGGAAGUGACAAGUUUGGUGAGUGAGUGAGAGGCAGCAGUGUGGCAUAAGAGGAUUAGUAAGAACACAGGAAAUUCUAAAGAUGUUCACAUAGAUUAGAGACCCCUUGAUGUCUUUCAAGAAUUCUAAGUAAGAAAUAAAUAAAUAAAUAAAUAAAUAAAUAAAUAAAUUUUUAAAAAAAGAAUAAGUAAAUGUUAGAGUCAUUUUUAAAUUACUUUUGGGAGUUAGAUGAUUGUCCUUGGACUUAAUACAUUUUAAUUAAUUUCUGAAACGGUUAGAAUGCAUACAAUUCAAAAUCCCAGAGAAUAAAAAGAUAUAGGUUUCCUUCCCAUUUCGGCCCCCAGCACCCUUCGAUCAACUUCUGCUCCCCCAGGGGUAACUGCUAUUAUGAGCUUCUUGUGUGAACUGUCAGUAAUAUUCUUUGCACACACAUAUGUAUAUGUAUGCACGUAUGUAUAUGUAUAUAUGACCUCCCCAUUUUGAGCACAAAUGAUAGCGUACUGUGCAUACUGUUCUGAAAUGUGUUUUAAAAACUUGAUAUAACAUGGAGAUCAGUCCCUAAUAGUACUUACAGAGAUGCUUCUUGUUUGUUAAUAUUAAACUACGUAGUAUUACAUUCUAUCAAAGUAAGGGUAGAUUGAAGUUGUCCAUUCAGUACUCUAUAGCUGAACAUUUACUUUGUUUUCAACCGUUUGUCCUUUAUACUGCAGUUCUUGAAUGUGACAUUGGAGGCUAAGCCUAUAAGGACCAUGUAGGGCCCUGGGAUUUACUUGGGUUAUAUAGAUAUUUGAGCUCAAUGGUGUCUUUGAAAGAUACUUAUUCAUUCUCUGGAUCAAGCUCUUCCCACCACCCUUUCCCUUGGUUCUACCCACCCUACCUUCUGGGCCGAGAGUAGAAGCCUCAGCCCUUCACCAUAACCUGCUCUCUGAAGUCCUCAAAACCCCUUCUACUCCAUAAAAUCUUCUUGGCCUGAUUCCCUUGUUUCCAGCCAAGAGUCUGCCACAAGGAGCUUUGGGCAGAAAAGCCAGGAAUAGAGACUCUGAUUAGACUGGAAAUAUUUAUUAAUCAAUUCCUGGACUUGCCUGGGGUCUCCCUGCUUAUUUUCCAUCUGCUUAUCUGGUUUUCUGUGGAUUUUGUUCUCUGUUUCUGCCAAAGGAGUUGUCUGGGUCUCUGUCAUAGGGCAGGACCUUACUUGUGAGCCUUAAAAAAAAUGUGCCAUCUAGGGAUCCCUGGGUGGCUCAGCGGUUGAGUGCCUGCCUUCGGGCCCAGGGCGUGAUCCCAGUUUGGGGAUCAAGUCCCAUGUCAGGCUCCCUGAAUGGAGCCUGCUUCUCCCUCUGCCUGUGUCUCUGCCUCUCUCUGUCUCUCAUGAAUGAAUUAAUAAAUAAAAUCUUAAAAAAAAAAAGUGCCAUCUUGUAGAAGAAACCCUUCCACCUUUAAUGUAAUUGCAUGGAAUAGUUAUUUAGAGAUCAUCUAGUGCAGUAAGUUACAGAUGAGGAAACAAGCAGGGAUGAGGGAGAAGUGCUAGCCCAGGACAAUCAAAUGAGCAAGUAAAAGGGACAGAACAGAAGUUUGAGGCUUCUACUUCCAGUUAUUACCUCUUCACCCUCUUCUUCAAGAGUUCAAACUCCGUCAACCUUUAUUCUUUCAAAACCUAGUAUAGGGAUCCCUGGGUGGCGCAGCGGUUUGGCGCCUGCCUUUGGCCCAGGGCGCGAUCCCGGAGACCCAGGAUCGAGUCCCACAUCAGGCUCCCAGUGCAUGGAGCCUGCUUCUCCCUCUGCCUGUGUCUCUGCCUCUCUCUCUCUCUCUCUCUGUGACUAUGUGACUAUCAUAAAUAAAUUUAAAAAAAUUUAAAAAAAACAGUAUAUAAAGGUAACAAUUGCAGUAUAUUCGAACAAUGGACUACUACUUGGCAAUAAAAAGGAAAAGCCAUAAAACCUGCAAAAAAUAUGGAUGAGCUUCAAAAUAUGAUACUGAACAGAAGAAACCACAUGCCAAAGAGUACACAUCAUAGAGAGAGGUUGGGAGAGAGGCGGAGAGAAAGGGAGACAGAGAAUCUCAAGCAGACUCUCCACCAGUGCUGAGCUGGAUGCAAGCCUGACAUGGGCCCAGUCCCAGGACUCUGAGAUCGUGACCUUAGCAGAAAUCAAGAGCCCACCAACCGACUGAGCCACUCAGGUUCGAGAGGCUUAUGGAACUUUCUGCUGCACCUUAUUCAGAAUGGACCUGCAGAAAUAUACAACCUGUUAAGCGAAGUCUAGAGCUGGCUCCUCAACCACAGGGCACCCACAACUUUUGCUGCAAUUGCUCAGCCCCUUUUGAUUCAGUAUCAUCCUUUUUGGUAUGUAGAACAAAGAUCCUGGGGAGCUGGCUUAUCCUUCUU
Canis lupus familiaris (dog) is the source of this 2944-nucleotide long non-coding RNA. RefSeq lists it as uncharacterized. The record is from RefSeq and is a predicted model, not a curated record. Lineage: Eukaryota; Metazoa; Chordata; Mammalia; Carnivora; Canidae. The transcript is spliced from 3 exons.